CACAGAUCACCUUCCCACCAUAGCCGAGGGGAUGACCGAGAAUGAUGAUCUUCCUCCUCCAGAAGAGACUCCACCCCAGGCUACUUCUCACCUAAAAGCUCCCAUUGGGAAAAAGAUCUUGAGCAGAAGGUUCAGGACAUUAAGUAUCAUCUCAGUGAAGUUCGAAAUGAGAGUCGUGUUAGAUGUAUGCCCUAGAAGCCAAUCUUGACUGAUG
Molecule: long non-coding RNA, 214 nt
Filed under: Elaeis guineensis (African oil palm)
Lineage: Eukaryota; Viridiplantae; Streptophyta; Magnoliopsida; Arecales; Arecaceae
Description: long non-coding RNA (EGUI_LNC057886)
Source: RNAcentral